This 253-nucleotide ribosomal RNA is filed under the name uncultured bacterium. Its description in RNAcentral is "partial 16S ribosomal RNA". It matches the Rfam family "Bacterial small subunit ribosomal RNA", at positions 524 to 776 of the family's 1533-position model. The record is from RNAcentral.
UACGUAGGUGACAAGCGUUGUCCGGAUUUACUGGGCGUAAAGCGCGCGCAGGCGGUCGUUCAAGUCGAGUGUGAAAGCCCCCGGCUCAACUGGGGAGGGUCACUCGAUACUGAUCGACUCGAAGGCAGGAGAGGGAAGUGGAAUUCCCGGUGUAGUGGUGAAAUGCGUAGAUAUCCGGAGGAACACCGAUGGCGAAGGCAGCUGCCUGGCCUAGGACUGACGCUGAGGUGCGAAAGCGUGGGGAGCGAACGGG